UCUCCGUUGGUGAACCAGCGGAGGGAUCAUUACCGAGUUUACAACUCCCAAACCCCUGUGAACAUACCUUACUGUUGCCUCGGCGGAUCAGCCCGCUCCCGGUAAAACGGGACGGCCCGCCGGAGGUCACCAAACUCUUGAUAAUUUAUGGCCUCUCUGAGUCUUCUGUACUGAAUAAGUCAAAACUUUCAACAACGGAUCUCUUGGUUCUG
Molecule: unclassified non-coding RNA, 212 nt
Filed under: root metagenome
Description: partial contains small subunit ribosomal RNA, internal transcribed spacer 1, and 5.8S ribosomal RNA
Source: RNAcentral